UACAAGCACAUGAAAGCCAAGGCCCAGGCAGUUACUGCCACUGGCACUUUUUUGUGCUUCCUCCAAAGGACACUUCCCAAAAGGAGCAUGAAAACGUGGGGCAGGAGUGAACCCUCUGGUCUCUGGGUCAGGAUGGUGUCAAAUAUUUGGGGAUGCGACCCUUAAGAAGAAUCAGGGAGGCAGGUUGGAAGGAGUCAAGAGUCAGAAUCCUCAGAAACAAAGCAGAAGACAUCACCAAAAGGAAUCUGAAUCUUUGAUCCCCACUUAUUCCCAGUCUGCAGGAUCCAGGCUUACUUCGCCUACGAUGCCACAACCAAGAGAAAGGAGACUGGCUUCACUCAUUGAGCAUUCCUACACCUUCCAAGUGUCCUGUUCACUUUUCUUCUUGUUUCCCACUUGAAUAAUGGGUUCGUCCAAUUGAAGACAUCGGGAGAAGGUUUGGGGCAAAAAGAAAGAGAAUGGACUGCCAGCAUGGGUUUGAUUCCAAGACCAGCCAUCUUGGAACUUGAACACAGUUUAUAGGCAGGAAAUGGCCCAUGUAGUCCUGGAUUAUAAACCGGUGGCUUUCUUUGCCAACUCACUGGAACCUUGGGAGCCCAGUUUUAAUACUAUUUAUAACCUGCUCUGAGAUCAUGUCCCCAAAUACUAAUUGCAAAGGAUUUUAAUAUAAAGGUGCUCUUCAA
Long non-coding RNA from Herpailurus yagouaroundi (jaguarundi), 683 nucleotides. RefSeq lists it as uncharacterized. The transcript has 3 exons. The record is from RefSeq and is a predicted model, not a curated record. Lineage: Eukaryota; Metazoa; Chordata; Mammalia; Carnivora; Felidae.